RNAcentral lists this ribosomal RNA (340 nucleotides) under uncultured bacterium. RNAcentral's name for it is "bacterial SSU rRNA". It matches the Rfam family "Bacterial small subunit ribosomal RNA", at positions 455 to 793 of the family's 1533-position model. The record is from RNAcentral.
AAUAGCAUACUCAUUUGACGUUAGCUGCAGAAGAAGCACCGGCUAACUCCGUGCCAGCAGCCGCGGUAAUACGGAGGGUGCGAGCGUUAAUCGGAAUUACUGGGACGUAAAGCGCAUGCAGGUGGUUGUUAAGUCAGAUGUGAAAGCCCGGGGCUCAACCUCGGAAUUGCAUUUGAAACUGGCAAACUAGAGUACUGUAGAGGGGGUAGAAUUUCAGGUGUAGCGGUGAAAAUGCGUAGAGAUCUGAAGGAAUACCGGUGGCGAAGGCGGCCCCCUCGGACAGAUACUGACACUCAGAUGCGAAAGCGUGGGGAGCAAACAGGAUUAGAUACCCUGGUAG